AGCUCCAAUAGCGUAUAUUAAAGUUGUUGCAGUUAAAAAGCUCGUAGUUGCAUUUCCGAGGCAAGGCAUUAGUCCGACCUUUGGUGGGUAUUUAAUCCUCUUGCCUCGUCCUUGAGUGGUGCUUCUUGGUAUUAAGUUAUCGAGGAGAUAGCCGCUCAUCGUUUACUGUGAGAAAAUUAGAGUGUUCAAAGCAGGCUUAUGCCGUUGAAUAUAUUAGCAUGGAAUAAUAAGAUAGGACCUCGGUACUAUUUUGUUGGUUUGAGAACCAAGGUAAUGAUGAAUAGGGACAGUUGGGGGUAUUCGUAUUCAGUUGUCAGAGGUGAAAUUCUUAGAUUUACGGAAGACGAACUACUGCGAAAGCAUUUACCAAGGAUGUUUUCA
This 381-nucleotide ribosomal RNA is filed under the name uncultured marine Chaetocerotaceae. RNAcentral describes it as "SSU rRNA". It matches the Rfam family "Eukaryotic small subunit ribosomal RNA", at positions 587 to 972 of the family's 1831-position model. Lineage: Eukaryota; Bacillariophyta; Thalassiosirophyceae; Chaetocerotales; Chaetocerotaceae. The record is from RNAcentral.